This 430-nucleotide ribosomal RNA is filed under the name uncultured bacterium. RNAcentral's name for it is "bacterial SSU rRNA". It matches the Rfam family "Bacterial small subunit ribosomal RNA", at positions 355 to 775 of the family's 1533-position model. The record is from RNAcentral.
UGGGGAAUUUUUCGCAAUGGGCGCAAGCCUGACGAAGCAACGCCGCGUGGAGGAUGAAGGCCCUCGCGGUCGUAAACUCCUGUCUAGCGGGACGAAAGUUUGUAGGGUGAAUAAUCCUGCGAAUUGACUGUACCGCUGGAGGAAGCUCCGGCUAACUCCGUGCCAGCAGCCGCGGUAAUACGGAGGGAGCAAGCGUUACUCGGAAUUAUUGGGCGUAAAGGGCGCGUAGGCGAUUGGGCAAGUCUCCUGUGAAAGCCCCCGGCUUAACCGGGGAAGUGCAGAAGAUACUGCUUGAUUUGAGUUCCGGAGAGGAAGGCAGAAUUCCCGGUGUAGCGGUGAAAUGCGUAGAGAUCGGGAGGAAUACCAGUGGCGAAGGCGGCCUUCUGGACGGAUACUGACGCUGAGGCGCGAAAGCUAGGGGAGCAAACGG